RNAcentral lists this ribosomal RNA (425 nucleotides) under uncultured prokaryote. Its description in RNAcentral is "bacterial SSU rRNA". It matches the Rfam family "Bacterial small subunit ribosomal RNA", at positions 355 to 796 of the family's 1533-position model. The record is from RNAcentral.
UGGGGAAUUUUCCGCAAUGGGCGAAAGCCUGACGGAGCAAUACCGCGUGGGGGAGGAAGGCCUUUGGGUUGUAAACCUCUUUUCUUAGGGAAGAACAAUGACGGUACCUAAGGAAUAAGCAUCGGCUAACUCCGUGCCAGCAGCCGCGGUAAUACGUAGGGGGCGAGCGUUGUCCGGAAUUAUUGGGCGUAAAGAGCGUGUAGGCGGCCUGGUAAGUCUGUCGUGAAAUGCUGGGGCUCAACCCUGGACGUGCGAUGGAUACUGCUUGGCUAGAGGAUGGUAGAGGCGAGUGGAAUUCCCGGUGUAGCGGUGAAAUGCGCAGAUAUCGGGAGGAACACCAGUAGCGAAGGCGGCUCGCUGGGCCAUACCUGACGCCGAGACGCGAAAGCAUGGGGAGCGAACAGGAUUAGAUACCCCUGUAGUCC